This 253-nucleotide ribosomal RNA is filed under the name uncultured bacterium. RNAcentral describes it as "partial 16S ribosomal RNA". It matches the Rfam family "Bacterial small subunit ribosomal RNA", at positions 524 to 776 of the family's 1533-position model. The record is from RNAcentral.
CAUGUAGGGAGCAAGCGUUGUCCGGAUUUAUUGGGCGUAAAGAGCUCGUAGGUGGUUCGGUAAGUCGGGUGUGAAAGUCAAAGGCUCAACCUUUGAAUGCCGCUGGAAACUGUCUGGCUAGAGUCCGGGAGGGGCGAGUGGAAUUCCUGGUGUAGCGGUGAAAUGCGUAGAUAUCGGAAGGAACACCGGUGGCGAAAGCGGCGCGCUGGACCUCUUCUGACGCUGAGGCGCGAAAGCCAGGGGAGCAAACGGG